CAGCAGCCGCGGGAAUACGAAGGGGGCUGGCGUUGUUCGGAUUUACUGGGCGUAAAGGGCGCGUAGGCGGACUGAUAAGUCAGGGGUGAAAUCCCAAGGCUCAACCUUGGAACUGCCUUUGAUACUGUUUGUCUUGAGUUCGAGAGAGGUAAGUGGAACUGCGAGUGUAGAGGUGAAAUUCGUAGAUAUUCGCAAGAACACCAGUGGCGAAGGCGGCUUACUGGCUCGAAACUGACGCUGAGGCGCGAAAGCGUGGGGAGCAAACAGGAUUAGAUACCCGGGUAGUCCCUGUCUCUUAUAC
Molecule: ribosomal RNA, 301 nt
Filed under: uncultured bacterium
Lineage: Bacteria
Description: partial 16S ribosomal RNA
Rfam family: Bacterial small subunit ribosomal RNA
Source: RNAcentral